Molecule: ribosomal RNA, 1394 nt
Filed under: uncultured Lactobacillus sp.
Lineage: Bacteria; Bacillati; Bacillota; Bacilli; Lactobacillales; Lactobacillaceae
Description: bacterial SSU rRNA
Rfam family: Bacterial small subunit ribosomal RNA
Source: RNAcentral
GUUUGAUCCUGGCUCAGGACGAACGCUGGCGGCGUGCCUAAUACAUGCAAGUCGAGCGAGCCGAACUAAUUGAUUACCUUCGGGUAUGAAGUUAGGGAAGCGAGCGGCGGAUGGGUGAGUAACACGUGGGUAACCUACCCUAUAGUCUGGGAUACCACUUGGAAACAGGUGCUAAUACCGGAUAAAAGGAGAGAUCACAUGAUUUCUUUUUGAAAGGCGGCGUAAGCUGUCGCUAAAGGAUGGACCCGCGGUGCAUUAGCUAGUUGGUAAGGUAACGGCUUACCAAGGCAACGAUGCAUAGCCGAGUUGAGAGACUGAUCGGCCACAUUGGGACUGAGACACGGCCCAAACUCCUACGGGAGGCAGCAGUAGGGAAUCUUCCACAAUGGACGCAUCCUGAGAUGGGAGGCAAACGCGCGUUAGGUGAAGAAGGUUUUCGGAUCGUAAAGGCUCUGUUGUUGGUGAAGAAAAGAUAGUGAGAGUAACUGCUCAUUAUUUGCGGUAAUCAACCAGAAAGUCACGGCUAACUACGUGCCAGCAGCCGCGGUAAUACGUAGGUGGCAAGCGUUGUCCGGAUUUAUUGGGCGUAAAGCGAGCGCAGGCGGAAAGAUAAGUCAGAUGUGAAAGCCCUCGGCUUAACCGAGGAAUAGCAUCGGAAACUGUCUUUCUUGAGUGCAGAAGAGGAGAGUGGAACUCCAUGUGUAGCGGUGGAAUGCGUAGAUAUAUGGAAGAACACCAGUGGCGAAGGCGGCUCUCUGGUCUGUAACUGACGCUGAGGCUCGAAAGCAUGGGUAGCGAACAGGACUAGAUACCCUGGUAGUCCAUGCUGUAAACAAUGAGUGCUAAGUGUUGGGAGGUUUCCGCCUCUCAGUGCUGCAGCUAACGCAUUAAGCACUCCGCCUGGGGAGUACGACCGCAAGGUCAAAACUCAAAGGAAUUGACGGGGGCCCGCACAAGCGGUGGAGCAUGUGGUUUAAUUCGAAGCAACGCGAAGAACCUUACCAGGUCUUGACAUCUAGUGCCAACCUAAGAGAUUAGGCGUUCCCUUCGGGGACACUAAGACAGGUGGUGCAUGGCUGUCGUCAGCUCGUGUCGUGAGAUAUUGGGUUAAGUCCCGCAACGAGCGCAACCCUUAUUAUUAGUUGCCAGCAUUAAGUUGGGCACUCUAAUGAGACUGCCGGUGACAAACCGGAGGAAGGUGGGGAUGACGUCAAGUCAUCAUGCCCCUUAUGACCUGGGCUACACACGUGCUACAAUGGGCAGUACAACGAGGAGCGAACUUGUGAAGGCAAGCGAAUCUCUGAAAGCUGUUCUCAGUUCGGACUGUAGGCUGCAACUCGCCUACACGAAGCUGGAGUCGCUAGUAAUCGUGGAUCAGCACGCCGCGGUGAAUA